Molecule: ribosomal RNA, 497 nt
Filed under: uncultured bacterium
Lineage: Bacteria
Description: partial 16S ribosomal RNA
Rfam family: Bacterial small subunit ribosomal RNA
Source: RNAcentral
GAUGAACGCUGGCGGCGUGCCUAAUACAUGCAAGUCGAGCGAACAGACGAGGAGCUUGCUCCUCUGACGUUAGCGUCUGACGGGUGAGUAACACGUGGAUAACCUACCUAUAAUACUUGGAUAACUUCGGUAAACCGGAGCUAAUACCGGAUAAUAUAUUGAACCGCAUGGUUCAAUAGUGAAAGACGGUUUUGCUGUCACUUAUAGAUGGAUCCGCGCCGCAUUAGCUAGUUGGUAAGGUAACGGCUUACCAAGGCAACGAUGCGUAGCCGACCUGAGAGGAUGAUCGGCCACACUGGAACUGAGACACGGUCCAGACUCCUACGGGAGGCAGCAGUAGGGAAUAUUCGGCAAUGGGCGAAAGCCUGACGGAGAAACGCCGCGUGAGUGAUGAAGGUCUUCGGAUCGUAAAACUCUGUUAUUAGGGAAGAACAAAUGUGUAAGUAACUAUGCACGUCUUGACGGUACCUAAUCAGAAAGCCACGGCUAACUACGUG